Diabrotica virgifera virgifera (western corn rootworm) is the source of this 320-nucleotide long non-coding RNA. RefSeq lists it as uncharacterized. The record is from RefSeq and is a predicted model, not a curated record. The transcript has 3 exons. NCBI's taxonomy places the organism in Eukaryota, Metazoa, Arthropoda, Insecta, Coleoptera, Chrysomelidae.
GCCUAAGCUAAAUCUCCGACCCUAUAAUAACAUCCUUUUCACAAUAAUCUCAUUUUACAAUCAUUGGAACAUUUUUAAAACGUAAUAAUGUCAAGAGGAAGCUUAAUGUUAAACCUUGCCCUCAAAGAGAAAACAGUUAACGCAGAUCGUGUUUGUAGCAGUUCUAAAUACAUUCCAGUUAACAAAAAGUUUACUCAAGACGAAGAAAAUCAAUCCUACUAUGUAGGGCUAAAAAAAUAAUGAGUGCGCCUGUAUUCUUCAGGUAAGAGUGGACUCUAAACAAAGUACAGACUGACAUAAUUAAGAUAUAAUUAAAAGAC